Pogoniulus pusillus (Red-fronted tinkerbird) is the source of this 2039-nucleotide long non-coding RNA. RefSeq lists it as uncharacterized. The record is from RefSeq and is a predicted model, not a curated record. NCBI's taxonomy places the organism in Eukaryota, Metazoa, Chordata, Aves, Piciformes, Lybiidae. The transcript is spliced from 2 exons.
GCAAGCCCCAAGCUUGCCCAUUUGGGCAGAAGGAUCCUCCUCAGAUCGUCACCGGUGAGUGCUCUGUGGUGCAUCACUGGGUGAAUGGUGGAGGGGAUUCAAAGGCCGGGGGGCCUGGUGUGGCCCCCCGGCUAGGUAGGGCUAGGCCUGACAACUGCUCUGACAUUGCUCUGACGUUGCUCACGGGUGCUGGGUAGGCUUCCUUAGACUGAGUUUCUCUGUGUUGAGUUGCUUCUUUCAGCUCACCGAGGAUGACCUGGAGUACUCGGCUGAACCUAUACCAGAUCAUGGAGGAACACAUCCAAGCAAGUCUUGAAUAUCUCCAAGCCUCUUCCAGUGUUCUGUCACCCUCACAGUCAAAAAUUCUUUGUGUUUACUUGAAACUUCCUAUGCUUCAGCUUCUAGCCAUUGCCCUUGUCCUGUCAUCAGGCAUCGCCAAGAAGAGCCUGGCUCCAUCCUCCUGGCACUCAUUUCUCCUUCUGUGUUUCUGCAGGAACUCCUAAUUUCCAGUCUAUGCAGCACAGGAACCAAUAUUCCUAGAUUCUCUCUUUGCUGUCCUCGUUUCUACUCCAUGCUCAAUUUGCUUCUGGUUGAUGUAAAGAGGGAGAUGAGCUGUGCUGUGCUUAUUUGUCCUGAGGCUCAGCGGGGGUGCGUGUGUGCGCUCGCCUUGAUGUCGUGUGUGAGGCUUUUGUUCUGAGUACCAAAGUCCUCUCUGAACUCGAGCCUCUUGUGCAGUGUUAUAACAGCACAGUGCACUGACAGGAGCAGUAAAUCCUAUAUAUGACAGAGGAAAUAACGUAUUGACCUGCUGAGGGAUUUGCAUACCUACAAGGAAUGAAAGCAAGCCGAGCCUGUAAGGGCGACUCGUUCUACUUUCCAUCUCCACUAUCCAGUGUUUACAGAUGAAUGGUUCAGGUAGAACUGUGCAUGGAUUUAAGAACGGUCCUAAUCCAGUAUAUUCUUAUAUCCAGGCUGUUACUAACUGUUAUCCACUGUUACAUCUUUGUAUGAGAGUAAUAAAUGCUGCUGCCCUGCAUGCUUUAAAUCCACAGUGCCUGUGGCUGUGCUGCUGAAAAGAAUGGUUAUGUACUUCCCAAAGGCAUGCAGAGAUGCUAGCUUUUUCAAAUGAUUCCUCUGAUCUUUCAUUAGUAAGCAUUUAAUUUCUAGGAGCGUCUCGCAUUACAAAUACUUGGCUGUCUUUCUUUGCCUGUGAGCUCCUGAGGUCAAAAGAGGCUCACAGAGGAAUUUCAGGAGUGUGAUCCCCAGAGGACAACAGAACUGAGGUCUCUCUCUUCCUGUUCUGCAAAUGUGGCAUCAUGUCUUCAGGGCGACCUGGAUCCUGACAGUCAUGGGAGCAAGGACACAGCAUGGAUUUCCAUUUGAUUCCUGGUACAGAAAAGAGAUCUGAGACAAAAAUCAAUAUGUGACUGAACUAUGAGAGUUCCUUUUCACAAUUAAUUUUAUCUAAGGGAUCAUUUCUUCUCUUCUUGUGCAAAUAUAAUUAACAGCUACUAUUUGUUUUUUCUGGUGUUGCUUCUUUGUGUGGCAAAGGCCUAAUCUUGAGAUUAAAUAGGUUGCAAUUUAAAAAUUUGGGAGGUAUACACAAUAAAUGUCAACAACCAUUUUAUAAGGGAGGCUGAAGGUAAUGCUUGCAUUUCAAGAUGUAGGAUUUCACUUUUUUUUCUCACGUGAUGCAAUAUUUUCAGACAGCAAUUCACAGUUCUGGUCAGAUGUUUCAGUUCAAAGUGGUUUUAUCAAUGACAACUAUAGAAAGCCCUGCCUAUCUGAAAUAAGCAUCUUAGCAGUUCUCUUUGAGGCACUGAUCUCUUUCCUAAAGGAAUAGACAAGCUGCUAAAAGAACACAUUUUUGUUUUGCCUUGGUUGUAUUUGUUUGAAGGCUCUGAGCUUAAUCUUCCUGCACAAGAAUAAAUCACAAUAAAAUCCCUUGUGAAAACAAAGUUGUGACACUUGGCUCAAAACCUUUUGGUUGAUUUUAUCAAAUCAGCAUUAAAUAAAACUGGCUUAUUCAGACAAGUUUA